Molecule: ribosomal RNA, 301 nt
Filed under: uncultured bacterium
Lineage: Bacteria
Description: partial 16S ribosomal RNA
Rfam family: Bacterial small subunit ribosomal RNA
Source: RNAcentral
CAGUAGCCGCGGGAAUACGGAGGGGGCUAGCGUUGUUCGGAAUUACUGGGCGUAAAGCGCACGUAGGCGGCUUGGUAAGUUAGAGGUGAAAGCCCAGGGCUCAACCCCGGAAUUGCCUUUAAGACUGCCGAGCUAGUAGGUGAGAGAGGUGAAUGGAAUUCCGAGUGUAGAGGUGAAAUUCGUAGAUAUUCGGAAGAACACCAGUGGCGAAGGCGGCUCACUGGCUCAUUCUAGACGCUGAGGUGCGAAAGCGUGGGGAGCAAACAGGAUUAGAUACCCCCGUAGUCCCUGUCUCUUAUAC